Molecule: long non-coding RNA, 1722 nt
Organism: Paramormyrops kingsleyae
Lineage: Eukaryota; Metazoa; Chordata; Actinopteri; Osteoglossiformes; Mormyridae
Source: RefSeq, a predicted model, not a curated record
UGUGUAUAAUAUGAGGCACACUACAGGAAUGUUCCAGUCAGGACUCCCAGCGGCUGGACAGGAAGUGUGUGGAGUCGUUACAGGAAGUGUGUACCAGGAGGGCCAAGCACGGGUGGGGCCUAACGAGCAGCGUGUUUUCCUGACACGGAGUUCUGCCAGUUCCCCCUCCAUUUGUUUCUCCUGCAGCCUGCUCUCCUGCAUGCGCUCUCAGAUGCCACCUACCCUUCACACUCUGCAACCUUCUCUAAUGAUGAUAGCCGUAGAGAGGGGAACGGCGUGACACUCCAAAGGGGGCAAAGGAGGUCUGACGUACAUUAGAGCCGGCCAUUCUGAAAUGAAAGCCACACUCGUCAGCCAACGGGAUGUGGGAGCAUUCUAGCUAGAGUGCAAAAGACAUGGACAGGCAUCAGGACAGCAUCUUACAUCAUUUCGCGCACGACAAAAGCACAGCCUCUGUGAAUGCUGUCUCGACUCUGGAAUGCACAAGUUUAAAAUGGUGAGUUUUCAUGACAAGUUCAUGUGAAUGCAGAGGACCACUGCUGUCAUAAAUGCUUGGCUAAGCACAGACUUUGAACAUCACCUCCUCCUGUGCUGUUAUUCGCUCCCACGUCUGCUCACUUUUAUCUGCCUUUCUUUUCUGUGGUCGGCCUGCUGGAGAACAUGUCUCUCAGCACAGGAAUCUUCCCGUCCGUUUGAAGUGCUGAGCUGUGUGAGAGGCAGACAGUUGGAGUCAUUGUGCAGCUCCACCACACCCUUAAGCCCCCCCAACAUGCUUCCAAAUACACCUGCAUAGGACAUAGAGCAAGGGGGACUUUCAUCCCACAAAGCGGCAUGAGAGGCAUCCACUGUGAGAUGAGUAAAAGACUCCUGACCUCUUGUGGUGGCUGGAGACAAGGCAGGGAACAACCCAGGAUGGAGCACCAACCCUUCUGCAGAGCCCCAGUAUCUAUAUUUAAUGUACAUAAAAUGACUAUCUGUAUUUCUUCCUUUUGUGUGUGUGUGCUUGUGCAUGUCUGCUUGCAGAUUAGUGUAGAGACAUCAGCCUGUAUCACAGCUAGGAACCCCUUUGAUAUGAGGAUUAGAUUCUGCCUCAUCCACAUACUCCCUCCUUCAUUUCUGUUUUCUUGUACUUUCGUCUGUUCUUGCCUCUCGUAAUGGAGAUGGGUGACAGCUGAACAUGGGAUUAGGCAGCAGCACGCAGCAUACACUGUGUUUCGUUUCUUCAGAUCCACACUCUGGCUGAAUUUUAGUAUUUUAUGGUUGGAAUGAUCCGGGCAUUUCUGAUAGCAUUAAACGUGUCACGUGGUUCCUGGCGGGUGGUGGACGUUAUCCCAGGGAAUGGAGAUGUUCUGUGAAGUUUGGUGAUUGGACCCUCAAAAUGUGAAUGCGAAUAUUGUAUAGAAAUGACCUAAAGAGACUUUUAGGAAAGUUUCUUAGGUAUAAACAAGCUUUUAUUUUAUAAACCAAAGAGGGCAGCUCCUGAAAAGCUUCCAUGUUUCUGUUUUAGAGAGAGAGAAAGGGCAUUCUGGAUGUUUGUGUUUAUUAACCAAUGUAUGUUUGGGAAUCUGUGUUCCAUAAAUGGAAGCUGUUUCUCUGUCAAUGUUGAUCUGUCAUUUAUAUUCACCUAGGCCUUGAUUUUAGUUAGGAGAUGGUGUUUCCCAGACCAUCACAAAGGUCUGGGAAGACACAAAACCUACCCCUGACCUAUUAUCCCCUCCAUUU